AAGCAUUUGGUUUUCUCAGAUCAUCAAAGAAAGGGUGUGCACAUGCCUCCAACUGAAAAUGAAUAUAAAGACUAUGACUUAUUCAAAAUGCCUCAUCAUAUCAAAUCCACGAAAGGAGUCUACAAGCAUGUUUACAUACUACUGGUGAAAUAUGGUCGCCCUCUCAAUAGGCUUCAUAAACUUAUUGAUUGUACACAAGUAGUUUGUAUGUGUUUUCUCAUUAACUACUUUAAGCUUUAUGCUAACUGCAGGAAAAGGCUUAGUCAUUCACUUACAGCAGUACAUCGGAGAGUUGGUGAAUACUGCAGCAACCUUGAGGCCAGAUCUACAGCUUCACGGGGUAUUUUUCUUUGAAAUAUCUGCAAAAUAUUGAGAUUCAAUCUUCAGCGCCUCAGCCUAU
RNAcentral lists this long non-coding RNA (400 nucleotides) under Solanum lycopersicum (tomato). RNAcentral describes it as "long non-coding RNA (SLYC_LNC000248)". Lineage: Eukaryota; Viridiplantae; Streptophyta; Magnoliopsida; Solanales; Solanaceae. The record is from RNAcentral.